RNAcentral lists this ribosomal RNA (253 nucleotides) under uncultured bacterium. Its description in RNAcentral is "partial 16S ribosomal RNA". It matches the Rfam family "Bacterial small subunit ribosomal RNA", at positions 524 to 776 of the family's 1533-position model. The record is from RNAcentral.
UACGAAGGGGGCUAGCGUUGCUCGGAAUCACUGGGCGUAAAGGGUGCGUAGGCGGGUCUUUAAGUCCGGGGUGAAAUCCUGGAGCUCAACUCCAGAACUGCCUUUGAUACUGAGGAUCUUGAGUUCGGGAGAGGUGAGUGGAACUGCGAGUGUAGAGGUGAAAUUCGUAGAUAUCUGGAGGAACACCGGUGGCGAAGGCGGCAUCCUGGACCGACACUGACGCUGAGGAGCGAAAGCCAGGGGAGCAAACGGG